GGCUUAGUUGAGUUGAGUAGAGUUGGUGGCGUAGUACUAGUUUUUGGGAGCUAUUGCUUUACUGUGAGGUGGUACAGAGGAAACUGUGGAAUUAUUGUAGUUUAAGCUUUGCUCAUAUAAGCUGUUAACCUCUGUAUUGGCAGCACAGAUCUUUGUUUCUUUAUCUUGAGUGUUUCACAUAUAGCUUCUUCUUCGUCUUGCAACUUUCUUGUACUUAAAUUCUUUAAGGACGUCAUACUUAAUGUAUAAAUGAUCUGAUCUGAAGCAGUGGUUAGGUCUACCAUGAAUGGUAGUUUUUGUUAGUGAUCAUGAUUAAUAAUUCUUUUUAUAGCAUUGAUCGUCUAGUCUGUC
This 351-nucleotide unclassified non-coding RNA is filed under the name Hevea brasiliensis (rubber tree). The record is from RNAcentral. Lineage: Eukaryota; Viridiplantae; Streptophyta; Magnoliopsida; Malpighiales; Euphorbiaceae.